UGUAAGCGUAUACCAAAGUUGUUGCAGUUAAAACGCUCGUAGUCGGAAUUUGGCAGUUCCGGAAGUGUGCACGUCGUGUGCGCACUUUGCGGGGACUGCUUUUGUGGUCUUGCGUAGGAUGAGGCACUUUCAUUAGUGAACGUCCUCACGCAACCACUCUUUACUGUGAGAAAAUCAGAGUGCUCAAAGCAGGCAUUUGCCGUGAAUGUAUUAGCAUGGAAUAAUAGAAUAGGACGCGGUUCUAUUUUGUUGGUUUGUUGGGACUGAGUAAUGAUUAAGAGGGACAGUUGGGGGCAUUUGUAUUCCGGCGCUAGAGGUGAAAUUCUUAGAUUGCCGGAAGACAAACUGCUGCGAAAGCGUCUGCCAAGGAUGUUUUCAUUGA
This 382-nucleotide ribosomal RNA is filed under the name uncultured eukaryote. RNAcentral's name for it is "partial 18S ribosomal RNA". It matches the Rfam family "Eukaryotic small subunit ribosomal RNA", at positions 592 to 976 of the family's 1831-position model. The record is from RNAcentral.